This 485-nucleotide ribosomal RNA is filed under the name uncultured bacterium. RNAcentral describes it as "partial 16S ribosomal RNA". It matches the Rfam family "Bacterial small subunit ribosomal RNA", at positions 28 to 523 of the family's 1533-position model. The record is from RNAcentral.
GAUGAACGCUGGCGGCGUGCUUAACACAUGCAAGUCGAACGAGAGAAGAUUGGUGCUUGCACUGAUCCGAUCGAGUGGCGGACGGGUGAGUAACGCGUGGGUAACCUGCCUCAUACAGGGGAAUAACAGUUGGAAACGGCUGCUAAAACCGCAUAAGCGCACAGUAUCGCAUGAUACAGUGUGAAAAACUCCGGUGGGAUAGAGAUGGACCCGCGGCUGAGUAGCUAGUUGGUGAGGUAACGGCCCACCAAGGCAACGAUAAGUAGCCGGCGUGAGAGGGUGAACGGCCACAUGGGGACGGAGACACCGCCCAAACUCCUGCGGGAGGCAGCAGUGGGGAAUAUUGCACAGUGGGGGAAACCCUGCUGCAGCGACGCCGCGUGAGUGAGGAAGUAUUUCGGUAUGUAAAGCUCUAUCAGCAGGGAAGAUAAUGACGGUACCUGACUAAGAAGCACCGGCUAAAUACGUGCCAGCCGCCGCGGUAA